GGUCACAUUGCCCCUCUAACUGCAAGGAAGGCUAGAAAUUUGAUCAGGCUUCUUCAUUAUGAUUCAGUACCUGGAGCUGGACACAUUGUUGCCUGGAGCAAAACUGGAGUUCUGAUAGCCAGGUAAAAAGAGAAAUGACUUUGGGGUAGGAAAUCAACAGUGAUGGUCACAGAGGCCAGGGAAGAUGGCCCUGACUAAGAUGCUGGCAUUGGACACAGAGAUAUUUAAGAGGUGGAAGUUACAGAACUUGGUGAUGGGAUGUGAGGAAUGAAGGAGGGGAAGGAGAAAAGGAUGAUUUCCAGGUUUGAGCUUGGGCAGCCAACAGAUUGUGAUGUCAUCUACUACAACAGAAAAUAUGAAGAAGAAACACAGGUGUGAGGAAGAUGAAAAGUCCACUUUUAAACAUUAGAUCCAGCAGUUAUCUUGCAACCAUGAGGAGAAUGGCCACACACUAAGGAGGAUGGAACAGGAAGGUAGAAAGAACCCGGUACCUUGAUGCCCUUGAGCAGCUGCACCUGCCCUGGCGUGCCUACCCUCAGACUUCCUGUUGCAUUGGAAGAAAGGAAGGGAGGGAGGGAGGAAGGAAGAAAACAACUGUCUCAGUUAAGCUAUGGCCUGUAAGGGUUCUGUUACUCGUAAGCAGGAGCCUGGCUUGUGCACCCCCGGGGCCUGCGGGGCCUCCCUUCCUUCCCAGGUGCCCUCCCCUGACAGCUGUGGGUAUCAGCCUCCUGUCGAAGUUUGGCACGAAAGCAGGUUUUGCGUUAGAAGUCUCAGAGGAGCCUCUUUUUGGGAAGGAGUAGUGAAGACAAGAGAGAACAGAGAGACACACGGAGUAGCAGAAGGAGCAGCUGGCUGGGGUUGAUUGAUCUGGUCCUGGCCCUCAGCCUGCCACUAACCAGCUCUGUGACCUCUCUGGGCCUCAGUCUACAGAACAAAGGAUUUGAGCUGGAGCAGUGUUUCUCAACUUCAUAACCAUCAAAAAGAAGGACCUCGUAUUUCUUUUAAGAUUUUUCUCUGCCAGACUGCAUUUAUCAAAUAAUUCAUAUUUCCAUGAGAAUACUGUGUUGAUACAAUUCCGGCCAAAAGCAAAGAAAAAUAACUUUUUAAUUUAGCCUUGUUAGUCUUACCAUAGGAUGAAACUUCCAUUAGUUCUUUGGAAAAAUUGGAAAUGUUUCUCGGGUCCACAUGAUUAUCUUGAGGACUUGUUGUGCCCUAGGGCUUUCCUACAAGAGUGCUGGCCUAGGAGUUCACUGGGGUCCAGUUCUGCUUUCCGUGAUGCCGGAGCCUGUGCCCCUUAGGAGCCAGUGGAGGUGCAUUUUCCCUCCUGCCCCCAGGCCCAGUGCCAAUUCCCAGUGCCAGGAGCUCGCUUCCCUCGUGAAAAACAAGCCUGUCGGAAUGGCACCUUCCUGCUGACCUGAGGGCACCUCAUUCACCCUCCUGCCUGCUAUCCCUCCUCACAGGCCCUUUCCCCCAUCCCACCUCCCCCCCAUCCCAGGAGGGAGUUGUCUCACCUAAGCCUUCAUCUCCAUGAGCCUGCUCUGCGGCCUUCUGACCUGAGAGACCUGGAGACGCUUUCAGCCAGUCAGAGGAGGAAGCCUGGUCAUCUCCCUCAGGCAGCUCCAUCGCCUGGUGAAGAGGGAAGGGCAGAGGCUCCCAACCCAGCUGAUAAAUGCUGUCACAGAGGGUCCAAUCUGCUGCUGGAGCCCUGAACGGUCAGCUCUGCUUGGAAGUGCGAAAGGUCAGAGAGAGGAGGGAAGAUCUGAGUCAGGGCCUGAAGGAUGAAGGGAGAAGCCUUUGAAGACCAGAGCCCCAGGAAGGGCGUGCACUGUCCUGAAGGAGCUCACAGAUUAGUGGAGAGAGAAACAUGGAGAACUUGUAGCCUCUGGUCCUGCAUUAGGGGAAGCACCUUCAAGGAGACACACCCUAGACUCCAGAGCAGCAGCUGACAACCCCUGAUGACACGAGGCAGCGUGCCACCAAACCACAGAGCAGCCUCAAUAGGUCCUAGCCCCAGGCCCCUCUUAUAUCUGACGUUUGCCCCGUCUUGGUUGAAGAGCAGCCCUGAGUCUUCUGUCCGCUCUGGAAGCUGUGGAAUUUUCCCGCCUGGAGGCUGGAGACUGGAGCAGCCCUUCUCCUGCCCCGCCCAUGCUCUCCAAGCCAAACCAGCAAAUUGGCAGAGAAAACUAACCAAGAUCUAUUUGAGGAAUGGGAAACUUGGGAAAGAAGAUGCUUCUAGAAUUUCUUCCCCAUGCUCUAGUCUGGGCAGGUUGCUCCCGGGAGGGUUGGGCUGUGGGUUGCCACUGUUAGAAUCUAAUAGGAGCUGCCUUCCUCUCGCUCCCGGCCCUGCCUAGUUAUUUGCAAGCCUGCUUGUUAGGGAAAUUCAAUUCCCCCUGGAACCCACCACCUGGAAAAACACCUCGCAGCACACAUAGUGAACAACGAGUGCAUUAACGGGGGAGGAGGAGACGGUGGCAGGCACUGGACCAAGGCGCCAUCAGUUCUGGAGGCUAGUGAAGUCUUCCAGCUGAACCGAAGCAUGUUGUUGUGCCUGGCCGGGAGGACAGCCGCACUCGCCUGGCGUCUGAAUGUGCCCCUCCACUCCCCGCUCUCCAGAGUCCGGGGGCACCGUGGAAUGAAUGCGCCAUUGCUUCACCAGGCUUCCAGGUUUGGCUCUCUUUGCAGGCCUUUGCUAAGUGCCAGGGUCGCCUUCAAGUUCAGCUCCCUCCGUGAACAGAGCCCAGUAGGUGCUUGGAGAGCAGGGGGAGAAGGAUGAGAACUCCCAGGAUACACAGGCUCUGUCCGGGGAGCUCUCAGCCUGAUGGAGACCCACCUGCCCUCAGGAAGUAAAGGCAGAGAGAGUCCCACAGGAGGGAGGCUCUGUAUUGCACGCAGUCGAGCAUGAACAUCAAAGCCAUCCCCGUCUGCUGUGAGGAGACCACCUCCAAGGUGAGGAAACUAAGGCACAGAAAAGCUGAGUAACUUGCCCAAGGCUCCACGGUCAUUAAGGGGUCGAGCCAGAUUUUAAACCAGAGUCUGUACUCUCAGGCACCUCCAUAAGAGACCAGGAUGUGGAAGCUUCUGGGAGUCCUUCUCUGGAUCCACAGAAGGCGUGCUCUCUAAGCAGGCUACUUCCUGGGGAGGCUCAGAGGAGGGAGCCAGCCAGGGACAGGGGAGAGAACGUGGACCUCCAACACCAAGGACAAACGUCUGCGUCUGCGAGAGAUGACUUGUGACCCCGGACAAGUAAUCUCUGUAUCCUAGUCUCGGCUUCCCAUCCUGAGGGGGGUCCCCCUUCCUGCAGCCCGCUAAGGAUUGAGGGCAGAGCCUGGAAUUAUGACAACACCUUCUCUAAGUG
Molecule: long non-coding RNA, 3355 nt
Organism: Equus caballus (horse)
Lineage: Eukaryota; Metazoa; Chordata; Mammalia; Perissodactyla; Equidae
Source: Ensembl